Molecule: RNA transcript, 4312 nt
Organism: Daucus carota subsp. sativus
Lineage: Eukaryota; Viridiplantae; Streptophyta; Magnoliopsida; Apiales; Apiaceae
Gene name: receptor-like protein EIX1
Exons: 2
Source: RefSeq, a predicted model, not a curated record
AGAUUUAUUAUUUUCUAGAUAUCGCAAUGCAGAAACAUAUGACAUUCCUCGUUCUUGUUUAUGCAUUAUUAGCUGCUCUGGCAUGUUUACAGUUUGGUCGUGGGAGCACAGUUGAAGACUACCGUAAUACAAGUUGUAUUGAGAGUGAGAAGCUAGCUUUGCUUCACCUUAAACAUGGUCUCGUUGAUGACUUCAAUUACUUGUCGUCAUGGGAUGGAGAUGAUUGUUGCGCAUGGCACGGAGUUGGUUGCAACAAUGGAACCGGCCAUGUCACUCGACUUGAUCUUCGAAAUGGUAUGUUAAGAGCUGAUCAUAUAUAUCAUUCCUUGCUUGAUUUGAAAUAUUUGACCUACCUAGACUUGAGUAACAACAAUUUCGAGAAGCUGAAAAUUCCCCAAUUCUUUGGGUCAUUCAAGGAUCUUACAUAUCUCAAUCUCUCGUACACCAAUUUUGAAGGUUUAGUUCCCCAUCAUCUUGGAAACCUUUCUAAAUUAAGGCACCUUGAUUUAGGUCUUAAUUAUUAUUCUAACCCCAAUGCCUUUGAUCUUAGUAAUCUGUAUAAUUCUUUAUUGAGCAUUGAUAGCAUGUGGUGGUUAUCUAAGCUUUCUUCGUUGGUACACUUGGAUCUCUCCUAUGUUAAUCUUUCCAAGGCCACUGACUGGUUUUCAUCCAUUAAUAUGCUUCCGCAUUCAAUUGUAGUACUUAAUCUGUUGAGUUGUCAGUUAUCGAACAAUAUCCCACGCCAUCUUCCCUUUGUAAACUUAACAUCUCUCAUUUCACUUAAUCUUGAAGAGAACAGCUUAAACUCUUCUUUUCCUUUGUGGGUACUCAACAACAGUGGGCUUGCACAUCUUUCUCUACGACUCAACCGUUUUCAUGGAUCAAUUCCUGAUUCUUUAGGAACUUUAACUUCUCUUGUAGAAAUCGAUCUCUCUUACAACAGUUUUAAUGGUUUGAUUAAUCCAGAGUCUAUUGGAAGAUUGGUUUCUCUUUCUUCACUUGAUCUUUCAUCUAAUGAAUUUCAAGGUCAUCUUCCAAAGUCUAUGAGAAGGUUGUCAUCUCUUACUUAUCUUGGUCUUAUGGAUAAUAAUUUCCAAGGCUCGAUCCCUCAUUCUAUUAGCAAUCUCACAGAGCUUACAUACCUCUAUAUGUCAUCAAAUGAAUUAAGGGGUGAUCUACCGGAAGAAGUUUGCCAACUGUCAAAGUUAAAAAGUUUGGAUGUCAGUUUUAAUCAAAUGAGUGGAAGGAUUCCUGACUGCAUUGGACAACUAUCAAAUCUCAUAUCCUUGGGUCUCUAUGAUAAUUCAUGGGAGGGUUUUGUAACAGCGCAUCACUUCGUUAACCUCACGAAGCUCAUUGACUUGUCUAUUUCCUCAUAUUCUAACUUAGCUUUAGAUGUUAGUAUUAACUGGGUUCCUCCAUUUCAGCUCCAAUUUAUAUACAUUGAAUCCUUGAAAGUGGGUCCCAAAUUUCCCCGCUGGCUCUUAACACAAAGACAAUUUCUUGAUUUUAGGAUGAUAAAUACAAGUAUAUCAGAUACCAUCCCAACAGAUUGGUUUUCAAAUCUCUUAUCUCAUGCCUACCUUGUUUAUCUAUCUGAUAAUGACAUAAAUGUGGAACAACUAUCAUCCAUUUCUGCAGUUCCAAAUGGUUUGCAAACAUUAGCACUCUCGAAUACCCGUUUGUUCGGCGGAUUUCCAUUAUUUUUAUGCAAUAUAACAUCCUUGCGGACUUUAGUUCUCUCCAACAAUUACUUUACCGGAGAGCUACCCCAGUGCUUAGCAAACUUGACACAACUGCAGGAUCUUGAUGUGAUGAAUAACAAUUUCUCCGGUACCAUUCAUGCUUCUUUGGGUUCUUUAAGACAUCUCGAAUACUUAAAUUUCCAUGACAACAACUUUCAAGGGAAACUCCCUUUGUCCUUCCAAAAUUUAACAGAGCUAGUCAUACUUGAUGUGGGAAAGAACAAUCUGUCUGACGUUCUUCCCUCCUGGACUGUAGAGCAAUUACUAGGGCUCCGAAUUUUAAUACUCCGGUCCAAUAAAUUCUAUGGUAAAAUUCCUACAAAUCUUUGCCACCAUCCAGCAAUCCAAGUUUUGAACUUUGCACACAAUCAGAUUGUGGGAAAUAUUCCUCCUUGUUUUGGCAAUUUUAGUACCAUGAUUACAGUAAACAAGAGUGAUGACUUUCAUCCAGAUUUUCCUUGGAGAUGGGCAUACAGUAAGAUGAUAAUAGACGAUGCGAAGGGACAUGAGCUGAAUUACACCUCUGGUCUAGAGUUUCUACAUUCCAUUGAUUUGUCAAACAACAACAUUGAUGGAGAGAUCCCGGAAGAGUUGAUGGAUCUCCGUGGUUUAACAAGUUUAAAAUUGGCUGGUAAUCAUCUAGCAGGAAGGAUCCCUGAGAGGAUUGGGAAUCUGGAAAGACUGGAAUUUCUCGAUCUCUCUGGAAAUAAACUUUUUGGACAUAUUCCACAAAGUUUAUCGAAUCUGGACUUUUUAAGCCACUUAAACCUCUCUUUCAACAAUUUAUCAGGGAGGCUACCCACUGGAAACCACAUCCAGACCCUCUAUGAUCCCUCCAUCAAUGAUGGCAACAACCAGCUCUGUGGCCAACCUAUCUUAGAACCCUGCGUCGGUGACACAGGAUCACCAGAUGUUCCCUAUUACGAUGAAGGUAAUUCAGAUUUAGAUGAAGAGCAUGUAUGGUUUUAUGCUGGGAUAGGACCUGGUCUCUUGGUUGGUUUUUUGGGCUUCUGCGCAUGUUUGCAUUACAUCAAGUCUUGGAGGUAUUCUUACUUUCACUUGAUUGAUCGAGUCUUCGACAAGAUAGUGGUUGCCUUUGCUUUAUGGAAGAGAAAGUUCCAAAACUAACAGGUGAAGUCUUAAUUGAUUUAGCAUCCAUAACUCUAUGAGUUUCUAAUAUUGGUAAAACCAGUAGGAUAUAUGCUAAUCUAUUGGUAUAUUUUCUUCAGUGGAUUCCUGUACUGCAAUGGACGAGGUGGACGCUGUGAAGUUCUUGAUAUCUGUUGAAAAAAUAUAAUUUCUUGUAAAUUAUUUGUAUACUUUCAUGUCCCUGUAUUCUGUUUCUAAUAUCACCUAAAAGACAAGAUGAUAUAAUUUAUAUGGGUUGUAUAUCCCAUCCUGUUGCAUAUUCGUAAUUCUUUUUAUCUGGUGAUGAUUAGUUGUGCAAUGUUGUUUGGAGAAGUUUCAGGAUAGCAAGUGGUUUUUGUACUCACUGGAGACAGAAGGAGCCGCUGCAAGCAAUACUGGUAUGUCAAAAAUUACAUAACUUAAUUGAUGUAAUCCUACCUUUAAGUUUUAGCAUGUUAUACAGAAUUCUAUCUGCCCCUUCCUCAAGCUCGUAAAAAUUUAGUAAAUGACACUGUAAGAAAGGGUGAGCUUGACGCCACCUUCAGACUUAAUUAUUUUUUGCAAGUAACGUUGCUGACAUCAAGUAUAGUCAAGGUGUGGGAAAUUGCCAGGGCCACAUUAUCCGCAAUCAAUAUUCUUGGUUCCCUGUUCUGUGCUUUUUUUUUUUUUAGAUCUUAUUGUAAUUAUUGUGUUCGUUGAAGAUUAUGUAGACCGCGUAAAGGUUUUAGACUACACGCCCCAUCCUAAAUAAUUAAGUGGCUCUUGCUUCUUUCCUGGAAGCAAGAUACUGAAACUGGUGAUUUCAAAGCAUACAUCUCUUGUAACUUAUGCAGUAACAUCUCCUGAAUGAUUUCUAUAUUUAAUGAUAUACAUCUGAUUUACCUGGACAAAAUCUAUAUGGAUAAUCUACACGCGAGUGUUGCAGCUUUGAAAAAGCUUCCAGAGGCCGGAGGCAAUUAUCUGUCAAACAAUCUUCUCUCAAGGGUUUCAGAUGGUGCACACUUCAAUCAUUUUAUAGCAAGUUUGGAUAUAUCGUGUUGCAGGCUUUCUAAAUUAGUAGCAAAUUUUUUCUUUUAUGUCAUGUAUUGUUUUUGGCGGUUGAGAAACAGAAAUACAUUUCGUUGGACGUUGGUACCACUUCCUUAAGCAACAUAUCUUCGGCUUAGAACAUAAAUAUGCUUCUAUGAGGAAGGACCAUACGAGUAGAGUUUUCCCAGCGAUCUGUCAACAAAACACGUUUUGAAGCAUUUCCACUCAGCGAUAAUGCACUGGCACACUAUCAAUCUAUUUUAAAGUCCAGCCUUGCUGUAAUGACUAUGUCAGGAUAAUGUGUGAAAUGUAAUUAAUUUUUAUUCAGUUAUAGUCAAGUUCACAGUGACAAAUGCGGGUCGUAUGCUCAAGAACACAAAUGCAAUUAAUUUUUAUUCAGUUAUAGUCAA